Oncorhynchus keta (chum salmon) is the source of this 349-nucleotide long non-coding RNA. RefSeq lists it as uncharacterized. The record is from RefSeq and is a predicted model, not a curated record. The transcript is spliced from 3 exons. NCBI's taxonomy places the organism in Eukaryota, Metazoa, Chordata, Actinopteri, Salmoniformes, Salmonidae.
UACAGCUCCAUAAUCCAUACAGGGCAGAGGACCAUAAACCAUAGCCAGUCUAUUCCCCAUGUAGGUACGAGGUGAGCCAUGUAAUCCCAUCCCAGGUAGGUCCAUCCCAGGUAGGUCCAUCCCAGGUAGGUCCAUCCCAGGUAGGUCCAACCCAGGUAGGUCCAUCCCAGGUAGCCAUAGACAGGUAUGUCCAUCUCGGGUAGCCAUAGACAGGUAUGUCCAUCUCGGGUAGCCAUAGACAGGUAUGUCCAUCUCGGGUAGCCAUAGACAGGUAUGUCCAUCUCGGGUAGCCAUAGACAGGUAUGUCCAUCUCGGGUAGCCAUAGACAGGUAUGUCCAUCUCGGGUAGC